UACGAAGGGGGCUAGCGUUGCUCGGAAUCACUGGGCGUAAAGCGCACGUAGGCGGAUUCCUAAGUCGGUGGUGAAAUCCUGGAGCUCAACUCCAGAACUGCCUCCGAUACUGAGAGUCUUCGAGUCCGGGAGAGGUGAGUGGAACUGCGAGUGUAGAGGUGAAAUUCGUAGAUAUUCGCAAGAACACCAGUGGCGAAGGCGGCUCACUGGCCCGUAACUGACGCUGAGGCACGAAAAGCGUGGGGGAGCAAACAGG
Molecule: ribosomal RNA, 256 nt
Filed under: uncultured bacterium
Lineage: Bacteria
Description: partial 16S ribosomal RNA
Rfam family: Bacterial small subunit ribosomal RNA
Source: RNAcentral